RNAcentral lists this ribosomal RNA (473 nucleotides) under uncultured organism. RNAcentral's name for it is "partial 16S ribosomal RNA". It matches the Rfam family "Bacterial small subunit ribosomal RNA", at positions 334 to 798 of the family's 1533-position model. The record is from RNAcentral.
CACUCCUACGGGAGGCAGCAGUGGGGAAUAUUGCACAAUGGGCGCAAGCCUGAUGCAGCCAUGCCGCGUGUAUGAAGAAGGCCUUCGGGUUGUAAAGUACUUUCAGCGGGGAGGAAGGCGAUAAGGUUAAUAACCUUGUCGAUUGACGUUACCCGCAGAAGACGCACCGGCUAACUCCGUGCCAGCAGCCGCGGUAAUACGGAGGGUGCAAGCGUUAAUCGGAAUUACUGGGCGUAAAGCGCACGCAGGCGGUCUGUCAAGUCGGAUGUGAAAUCCCCGGGCUCAACCUGGGAACUGCAUUCGAAACUGGCAGGCUAGAGGCUUGUAGAGGGGGGUAGAAUUCCAGGUGUAGCGGUGAAAUGCGUAGAGAUCUGGAGGAAUACCGGUGGCGAAGGCGGCCCCCUGGACAAAGACUGACGCUCAGGUGCGAAAGCGUGGGGAGCAAACAGGAUUAGAAACCCGUGUAGUCCCAU